Molecule: long non-coding RNA, 489 nt
Organism: Camelina sativa (false flax)
Lineage: Eukaryota; Viridiplantae; Streptophyta; Magnoliopsida; Brassicales; Brassicaceae
Source: RefSeq, a predicted model, not a curated record
UCCACAUCAAUACAUCAUAGACUUGCACUCUCUUCACUUGACACCAAACAAACAAAAAAACCACUUGCACUUUCUAUUUCUUCUGUAUGGGGAAAGAGAGAAAAUAUAUUUUGUUUUCUAUAUAACCCACCACAACAUUGAUCUCCUCAGUCUCAGCUAUCAUCUUUGCUCUAAUGGUGGACGACAUUUUCACAAGAUUCUUCAUCUUUUCACAGACACACGGCAAGUUCCUCAAGAUCUCUUAAAAUGUACCAGAAACAUUCUUUGGAGAAAUUUCCCGAAGCUUCUCUUUUCGUCCAAAGGCUCAAGAAUAUGGCAGACUGAUGAAACUUGCUUAUCAGAGGCAUGGAAGAUACUAGUUGUACAUGUUCCCGAUCAUCACCCUCCAAGCGUUUUGUAUAUAUAUUCAAGAGCUGAACACUAUUAAUUAACAAGCUGUAAAUUUUAAAUUUCAGUACUGAGAUUCAAUCAAAUCACAUUCCAAAAUCA